UACGGGGGGAGCAAGCGUUGUUCGGAUUUACUGGGCGUAAAGGGCGCGUAGGCGGUCAGCACAAGUCAGUUGUGAAAUCUCCGGGCUUAACUCGGAAAGGUCAACUGAUACUGUGCGACUAGAGUGCGGAAGGGGCAACUGGAAUUCCUGGUGUAGCGGUGGAAUGCGCAGAUAUCAGGAGGAACACCGGUGGCGAAGGCGGGUCUCUGGGCAGUAACUGACGCUGAGGAGCGAAAGCGUGGGGAGCGAACAGG
Molecule: ribosomal RNA, 254 nt
Filed under: uncultured bacterium
Lineage: Bacteria
Description: partial 16S ribosomal RNA
Rfam family: Bacterial small subunit ribosomal RNA
Source: RNAcentral